GGGCAAUUCUCGCCCCAGCUUCAGAAAUUCAGAAUUUCUUCAAUCUGCACUAUCUCUCUCUCUCAAUUACCAGACCCCGGCAACUACGUCCAUUCUCCGGCGAGUCGCGGCGGCGGCGGCAAUAGCAGUUUAUCGGCGAAGAGUGGAUUGCCGGAGAUCGAAGGGAGUGGGUUUUUUAUUUUGGGAUCUAGGGUUCGAGUGAUUUUUGAUUUUUUUUUCUGGUUCUAGAUCAAUUUCCUUGAGCACUCUCGAAGAUUUCAAGAACUCUUUGGCUCCAGUUCAUCCAGCAAAGACACAAUUAUUAGAGUCAGAUACUGUCUCGGAUCUGACUUCAACUCUAUCCUCCUUCUCCGUGACUGCUACUCCUUACAAGUACAUUUCCAUUGAAACGCCCUACACCGACAAAUCUGAGAUGGAUUCUCUCAAGAUGGGAGGAUCAGUUGAGGCAGAGGUAGUGAUAAAACAUUUAAGAGAAGCUAGAGUUCAAGUCUCGAAAUCAAAAGAUGUCGGCCCUUCAAAGAAUGUCGUGGAGGCUCUCAUAAACAUCAUCAUCGAAGAGUUUCGUGGUAGUGUUUAUGAAGAGGAUGAAUGGCUUGAUAAACUCCUGUCGAGUAAGCGCAAUCAGGUUUUCUUGAUCUGUAUUAUGGUGUUAUUCUCUCUGUUGAUGGUUUGGUUCCUCAGUUCAAGUUUAAAUGGAUCCUUCACUAGACCAAAGCCAACAUAAUGUGCUAAUUGUGACUAUUUGUGGAUAAGAGAUUGGAAGAGCAGCUGCCGUGAAAUAAACAAAUGUGAGUAGGAAUCCAUGAAAUGGAAAAAAUUCUGCUAUCUACCAACUGUUUUUAUUUCAAUGUUGCUUUAGCAGCCAAAUUAUGCAUAAGCAUGAAAUGAAAAAACUCUACUAUCUACCAACUAUUUUGUUUCAAUGUUGCUUUAGCAGCCAUAUUUUUGCCUCUUUUUUUAAUGUUCUUGAGCUGUGAUAAUGCCUUGAUUUAUAGAUCAGUUAUAGAAUGCAUUAUAUGUGUCCAAGUUCUUAAUAAUGAACUCUAUUGCCUUCUUCAUUUGGUUUCUAAUAGCUCUGUAAUGUUGGAUUUUACUCGACACACCGGGGCACUUGCUUGAGAGGCCAUCGCUGUUUGGGGCGCUGGUGCAGGAGUACGCGAACCGGUCGGCGGAACUGUGACGAGACAAAUCUGCAGUUGAUCUGUUGGAGGGCUCCUUUCUUUCAGAUAUUUCUCCCCAGCUCGAUAGGCGCUGGGUUUUUGAGAUGUCGGAUUUGGCCUCUUUUGGCUAUCAUUCUUGGCAGCAAGUCUUUCUCUUUUGCGUGGACUAUCACCGGUUUUGCUGCCUAUUUUGGUGUUCUGCCAUGGGGUUGUUAAGUUCUCUUUUCUGGACUUGGUCGACGGGGGGGAUUGCUAGGCUGAUUUGGGUUGCUUUGUGUUUGUGAUCACUGAGAUUCCAAAAUCAAUAUAAGAGGGCGAGAUGGGGGCGAAGCUCUCCAGCAAUGGAAGUUUUAUCCGUAGGAAUUCAAUCACCCAUGGCCAUGGAUCUUCUGCUGCAUUUUAGUUUUUCGUUUUUUUUUUUCGAUUUCUUGAAACAGCCGCAUACUGUGUAUUCUUUGUUGGUGGGAAUUCCAUUUUUUUUUCUUGAAACAAUCGAUUCGUUGAACCUACUUUUAAUAGUAUGGUUAAAUUUAUAAAAGGGAAAUUUUUCAUUCUCA
Long non-coding RNA from Salvia miltiorrhiza (redroot sage), 1717 nucleotides. RefSeq lists it as uncharacterized. The record is from RefSeq and is a predicted model, not a curated record. NCBI's taxonomy places the organism in Eukaryota, Viridiplantae, Streptophyta, Magnoliopsida, Lamiales, Lamiaceae. The transcript has 3 exons.